Molecule: long non-coding RNA, 1551 nt
Filed under: Helianthus annuus (common sunflower)
Lineage: Eukaryota; Viridiplantae; Streptophyta; Magnoliopsida; Asterales; Asteraceae
Source: RNAcentral
AACCCCUUAUUCAAUUUGCUAUCGUGUUCAACGCUUAGCCUAUCCACGCCUCCCUCAUUGCUAAACCAGGGUUUUUUUUGUUCCUUUACAUCUAUAUUCUUCCUAAACCUAAACUCAUCUCCCUCAAAUUUCUGCCGUUUCAAAAUCUUUGUUCUCUCCUUUAUUCUCAAUCUAUCAUACGUUCCUAAUCUAUCCAUUUAUUCAGCCUAAUCAUCUUCACAAGAUAUUAUAAUCUUCUCCCUCGCCGUCCAAGAAGUUCCUGAUUCUCGAUUUUUAGUCAAGGUUAAGACUACGAAUCCGAAGAAGUAUUGCGUCCGUCUCAACACCAGAGUUGUAAAAUGAGGAUCUGCUAAAUGAUUAUUUAUAACGUGUCAGUUUUCCUGAACUUGAAUUAGCCAUACAUGUUUAGAAAUAGAAUUACAUGACUGUUGACUCAAAAGCAUAUACUGUCACAACAUGAUAUAGAAACAGUAAAGAUUAUACAUACUACUAAAUCGUUACUUCAGUGAAGAUGAUUAGGUAUUUGAUGGUUAUGGUGAUGGUUUUCUACUUUUCUUCAUGUAUCAUGGUAUGUCAGGUGAUUGGUGUUGUUGAUGUGAGGGAUUACUGCGGUUUUGGAGGUUUUGAAAAUGAUGAAACAUACUGAAACCUUUGUUCAAUACUUCAAUCUGGGCACACAUUCCAUAUUUUAAAAGCUAACAAUGAAUAGACAAAACCAACUAUUUGGUAAUUCACCAUGACCUCCAACUGAUUUAAAACGAAAAAAGAAGACAUACACUGGAUGUUAGCUGUAAUGGAAAUAAUAAUUACCAGGCAAUCAGUAUCUGUAUGUAUUUGGUGCAAGCAUACGCCCGAGGAAGGUUUUAUUUGGUACGAUUUGUACGCUGAUAGAUCUCAGAUCAUGGAAACUUUAUUGUUGAUGGGGCCGAAGCAUACCAAAUGACAUAUUGAUGGAUCACCUUCAAGUUAGACGCAGAGAGACAGAACAUGGUCCUGCUGCAUCUUGAAGCAGCAAUAGAGCGAGGCGUUCCCGGGAUGAUAUAUAAUAUCUUCUUUUCUAUGAGUUAACAUAAUACAAGGGGGGGAUUGAUGAUAGAGAUACGCACAAAAGACGGGUUGAAUUAUUAUUUGAUGUCCUGUAUCUUCAAUCUUUUUUUUAUGAUUGACCUCGCAAUACAAUAGUUUAUUCCAUUUGAGGGGUCAAGAGGUCGAAAAAAUCAACAUGGCACAAGCGGUGAGUAGUCCCUGGGUGUUUGAGUUUGCUGCAUACAAAAUGGGGAUGGCGGCGGUGUUACCGCGUGGUAACCCCUUCACUGUCCCGUUCACCCUUAAUCAUAUCACCUUUGUUUUUACUAUAUACAUGGUAAACUUGUAAUGCCAGUAGCCUUUGAACUUUUGAGCGUAUGCAUGAUGAAAUGUUCUUAGCACCAGGGUUGUGGAAUAGAUUAUAUAACUAUGUAAAUAUGAUACUUAACAUAAUUUUAUCUUAUUUUGAGUUGUCAUUAGUGGUAUUUCUUUCACUUUUUAUAGUUUAAGAAAUGAAUACCUUCU